Molecule: transfer RNA, 90 nt
Filed under: Desulfovibrio sp. X2
Lineage: Bacteria; Pseudomonadati; Thermodesulfobacteriota; Desulfovibrionia; Desulfovibrionales; Desulfovibrionaceae
Description: tRNA-Ser
Rfam family: tRNA
About the family: Transfer RNA (tRNA) molecules are approximately 80 nucleotides in length.
Source: RNAcentral
GGAGGGAUGGCAGAGUGGUUUAUUGCGGCGGUCUUGAAAACCGCUGACGGGGCAACCCGUCCGGGGGUUCAAAUCCCUCUCCCUCCGCCA